ACUCAAAGGAAUUGACGGGGACCCGCACAAGCGGUGGAACAUGUGGUUUAAUUCGAGGCAACGCGAAGAACCUUACCAGGGUUUGACAUGCUCUCUUUGAGAACCGGAAACGGAUCUCUUCAGUUCGGCUGGGAGAUGCACAGGUGCUGCAUGGCUGUCGUCAGCUCGUGUCGUGAGAUGUUGGGUUAAGUCCCGCAACGAGCGCAACCCUCGUCCUCUGUUACCAACAGGUUAAGCUGGGUACUCUGAGGAAACCGCCGGUGAUAAGCCGGAGGAAGGUGGGGAUGACGUCAAGUCCUCAUGGCCCUUACAUCCUGGGCUACACACGUGUUACAAUGGCGGUGACAAUGCGCUGCGACCCUGCGAGGGGAAGCGAAUCGCAAAAAGCCGCCUCAGUUUGGAUUGUACUCUGCAACUCGAGUACAUGAAAUUGGAAUCGCUAGUAAUCGCGGAUCAGCACGCCGCGGUGAAUACGUUCCCGGGUCUUGUACACACCGCCCGU
This 502-nucleotide ribosomal RNA is filed under the name uncultured bacterium. RNAcentral describes it as "partial 16S ribosomal RNA". It matches the Rfam family "Bacterial small subunit ribosomal RNA", at positions 899 to 1397 of the family's 1533-position model. The record is from RNAcentral.